ACGCUCGACACCUACGGAGGCAGCAGUGGGGAAUAUUGGGCAAUGGGCGAAAGCCUGACCCAGCAACGCCGCGUGAGGGAAGAAGGUUUUCGGAUUGUAAACCUCUGUCCUCAGGGACGAAGGACGUGACGGUACCUGAGGAGGAAGCCCCGGCUAACUACGUGCAGCAGCCGCGGUAAUCUGAGCGGGCUGGCAAGGC
This 199-nucleotide ribosomal RNA is filed under the name uncultured bacterium. RNAcentral describes it as "partial 16S ribosomal RNA". It matches the Rfam family "Bacterial small subunit ribosomal RNA", at positions 328 to 539 of the family's 1533-position model. The record is from RNAcentral.